GUUAAAUAGUAUUCAUUUAGAAGGUUAAAGAGUUUCUGGUGAUAAUCUCCAGGGAUUUCACAGGGAAGUGCAUGGUCAGUACAGGUGAACAGCACAGAUAGUAAGUGCCUUUUUGAGAAAAGGAAUGGGUAGUUGAGGAAGGUUCCAAAAAAGACGUGGGCCUUGAUAGAUAGGGUUUGGAGGAAAGUGGGUAUUUUGUGUGAAGCUCAUAAGUGAAAGCUUGGAAGUAGAAAAUACUCAAAUCCUGCAUGGGGCUAGCAGCUCAGAAAUACAGAGACUGUUAUGGAUAAUUUGGUUGUGGUGGUUUUCUUUCUGGCACAUUUGCUAAGUUUUCAAAUGGGCCUGACUCUGCCACAUAUAUUAUACAGGAGCUGGCAAGGGCUUGAUGACAAAGAGAUCUUUCUAGCCUUUCCUGCAACCGAGAUGGGCUCCCACAUGUGGCAAGCUAUCUCAUAAGUUUAAGUCCUUACAGACAGGCUGACAUAGACCUGUCUGACCUGAGGAGAAUCUCUGCUGAGGGGUGCUUCUCCACCCCUGUGAUGGAUUUGCUACUUCUCAGGGACUGUGCAGGAGGCCUGACCUCUCUGGGACCUGUGGGAAGAUGAUAUUCCAGGAGAAGUAAAG
Molecule: long non-coding RNA, 624 nt
Filed under: Sus scrofa (pig)
Lineage: Eukaryota; Metazoa; Chordata; Mammalia; Artiodactyla; Suidae
Description: PIILA
Rfam family: Small nucleolar RNA SNORA12 (bases 294-439)
Source: RNAcentral